RNAcentral lists this ribosomal RNA (403 nucleotides) under uncultured bacterium. RNAcentral's name for it is "partial 16S ribosomal RNA". It matches the Rfam family "Bacterial small subunit ribosomal RNA", at positions 28 to 526 of the family's 1533-position model. The record is from RNAcentral.
GACGAACGCUGGCGGCGUGCCUAAUACAUGCAAGUCGAACGCAGUGGGGACGGGUGCGUAACACGUGGGUAACCUCCCAUCAGAGGGGAUAACACUUGGAAACAGGUGCUAAACCGAUACUGAUGGAUGGACCCGCGGGGCAUUAGCUAGUUGGUGAGGUAACGGCUCACCAAGGCCACGAUGCAUACCGGGCCUGAGAGGGUGAUCGGCGACACUGGGACUGAGACACGGACCAGACUCCUACGGGAGGCAGAAGUAGGGAAUCUUGGGCAAUGGACGCAAGUCUGACCGAGCAACGCCGCGUGAAUGAAGAAGGUUUUCGGAUAGUAAAACACUGUUAUUAGAGAAGCGUUAUCUACACAGGAAGCAACGGCUAACUACGUGCCAGCAGCCGCGGUAAUUC